Molecule: ribosomal RNA, 465 nt
Filed under: uncultured bacterium
Lineage: Bacteria
Description: partial 16S ribosomal RNA
Rfam family: Bacterial small subunit ribosomal RNA
Source: RNAcentral
CCUACGGGCGGCAGCAGUGGGGAAUAUUGCGCAAUGGGCGAAAGCCUGACGCAGCGACGCCGCGUGAGGGAUGAAGGUCUUCGGAUCGUAAACCUCUGUCAGCAGGGAAGAACGGUCACUGUGCUAAUCAGCAGUGAAUUGACGGUAUCUGUAAAGGAAGCACCGGCUAACUCCGUGCCAGCAGCCGCGGUAAUACGGAGGGUGCGAGCGUUAAUCGGAAUUACUGGGCGGAAAGCGAUCGUAGGCGGUAUGUCAAGUCAGGGGUGAAAUCCCCGGGCUCAACGUGGGAACUGCCUUUGAAACUGGCAGACUGGAGUGUGUUAGAGGUAGGUGGAAUUCCAGGUGUAGGAGUGAAAUGCGUAGAUAUCAGGAAGAACAUCGAUGGCGAAGGCGACUAUCUAACACAUGACCGACGCUGAGGAGCGAAAGCGUGGGUAGCAAACAGGAUUAGAUACCCUAGUAGUC